Long non-coding RNA from Corvus hawaiiensis (hawaiian crow), 1346 nucleotides. RefSeq lists it as uncharacterized. The record is from RefSeq and is a predicted model, not a curated record. The transcript is spliced from 3 exons. NCBI's taxonomy places the organism in Eukaryota, Metazoa, Chordata, Aves, Passeriformes, Corvidae.
UCCCAGGGAACAAUUCCUUCCCAAUAUCCCAUCUCUCCCUGCCCUCAGUGGGAAUCCAUUCCCUGGGUCCUGUCAGGCUGAGUUGGGAAUUCCCCUCCAUUCCUCUGGUUUGUGGUGAGCUCAGGAUUUUGUUCUCUUUGCAUUUUCCAGCCGAGGUUCAGGAGGAGGUUGAGCUCAGGAGACUCCAGCACUGAGCCAGGGAUUCUGGUGAGUAUUCCCUGUCCCUGCUCCCUCUCUCUGGGUUCAAUCUCCUUGUCCAGGCAGGAAAUGUCUCCAGGAAUGUUGGAUGUGUUUUCCAGGCAUCACAGGCUGUGCCACCAACAAAGAAAUCAUUCCCAAAAAUGAAUAAUUCAGGGAUGAAUUCCCUCCUGGGAAGGUCUGUGAGGUUCUGUGCAGUGGGAAGGCACCUUCACCUCGAGGUUGUGCCAAAACCACAUCUACAAAACAGGAAGAAAUCCACAAAACAGGAAGAAAUCCUGCAAGUAUUACAAGAUAAGGAAGCAGGAGCUCCUGGGGGCCCUGAGGGUUGAGAAGGUUGGUGUUGGUUCCCCACAGAUGUGGUUCCAUCCUUGAAGAUGAUUUUCAGUAAAUCAACUAGGAGCACUCAAAUUACAUCUCCUGUAGCUCCCAGCCUCUGCCUUUUUUACUAAUAAUGUUCUUUUUCCCUCAGCAAACCUUCCAACAUCCUCAUUUUUCACUGUUCUUUUCCUCCUCACGCUGCUUCUGUUCAAGAGAGAUUGAGACCAGGCGUGUUCAGAGGACAUUUCUUGCACGGUUAAACUUGGAUCAGCUGCUUAUUUUAUUGGAAUUCAUCUCAUGCCCUGCAGAUUCCAGUUUUCCUGGGAUGAUUUUGGGAUAAGAAUGUUCCUUUCAUUCCUGGUGAUCCCAAAGCUCUGGUGGGAGCUCCGCUGCUUCAGAUGAGCCCUCGGCAGUCAGAGCUCAUUUCCUGGGAUGGAGCUGGGAAGAAGGGAAUCACUGAGCUGGGGAAACUGAGAUCCCUCUUCCGUGUGCUGCUGCAGACACACAGCCCCGGGGCUGCUGCCUGACACUCCUGAAGAUGCACUGGGCUUGCUUUGCUGAGCAGGAUGUGAGCACUGGGCAGUGCAAUCCACGGGACUUUGCUGGUUUCUUGUUGCCCCAGGGAGCAGAGCUCUGCUGUCUGGAGGUGGGAAUGAUUCCAGCUGGGAAUGGUGGACUCUAUAUUCCAUUUACCAUUGGCUUGCUGGGAAAAGCAGGAAAAAACCUGGGAGCUGCCCAGCACUGUUUGAGGAGCUGAAAGGUAUAUAUUUUUAUAUAUAUAUAUAUAUAUAUAUAUAUAUAUAUAUAUAUAUAAAAAUUAAUAUAUA